This 301-nucleotide ribosomal RNA is filed under the name uncultured bacterium. RNAcentral's name for it is "partial 16S ribosomal RNA". It matches the Rfam family "Bacterial small subunit ribosomal RNA", at positions 509 to 807 of the family's 1533-position model. The record is from RNAcentral.
CAGUCGCCACGGUAAUACGAAGGGUGCAAGCGUUACUCGGAAUUACUGGGCGUAAAGCGUGCGUAGGUGGUGGUUUAAGUCCGUUGUGAAAGCCCUGGGCUCAACCUGGGAAUUGCAGUGGAUACUGGGUCACUAGAGUGUGGUAGAGGAUAGUGGAAUUUCCGGUGUAGCAGUGAAAUGCGUAGAGAUCGGAAGGAACAUCUGUGGCGAAGGCGACUAUCUGGGCCAACACUGACACUGCGGCACGAAAGCGUGGGGAGCAAACAGGAUUAGAUACCCCCGUAGUCCCUGUCUCUUAUAC